RNAcentral lists this long non-coding RNA (403 nucleotides) under Helianthus annuus (common sunflower). RNAcentral's name for it is "sRNA HanXRQr2_Chr14g0628471". Lineage: Eukaryota; Viridiplantae; Streptophyta; Magnoliopsida; Asterales; Asteraceae. The record is from RNAcentral.
UUCAAGGCUAUUCCUUUCACACCGCUGGCAAAUUCAACCAUUUCCCCAGCUUGAAUCUCGUUCAACCCAUAAACACGUGCAAUCCCAUCUCCAACUGAGACCACUCGACCAAUCUCAUCCACUUGAAAAUUCGUGUAAAAGUUGCUAAUUCUACUUUCUAAUAGAGUCGUUAGUUCAGCAGCUCUCGGAGAGAAUUCCAUGAUUCUACUGAUUUUGGAUAUAAGGGGGAAUACCGCUUUCAAUUUCAAAGAGCUCUAUUUCCGCUAUUCUUAUAGAUCAGAUUCGAGCUUGUACUACUAGAACUAGGAGUUGAGAUAGCGCGCGGAACACCAACACAAUCCUUUGUUAAAUGUCUGCGAGCUCCUUCUUCUUUCGUGAAAGCAUACGAGUCGUUAUGAGUUAG